Corapipo altera (White-ruffed manakin) is the source of this 1321-nucleotide long non-coding RNA. RefSeq lists it as uncharacterized. NCBI's taxonomy places the organism in Eukaryota, Metazoa, Chordata, Aves, Passeriformes, Pipridae. The record is from RefSeq and is a predicted model, not a curated record. The transcript is spliced from 3 exons.
UUCCCCAGCACAGUGGAAAUCCUCCCCAGCUCUCCAAGACCGGCUGCUGGAUACCGAACUCUGGGGCCCCAACAUAAGGACGUGGAAAGAGCCAGUUUAUCUCUGCCUCUUACAUCCAAUACAGCUGAGUCUCUGAUGGGCACUUAUCUGACCCAAGAUAACUGUAAGCAGAACAUGAACUCUGCUUCUGUCUCUGAUGACCCCUGUUGUCACCCCUGACCAUGAGGAUGUCUACAGAGGAAAUUCUCACUCUUUCCUGCUUGAGCUGUUCUGCUUUGUAUGGAAUCGACUGGGCCUGAGAUGACACCGAAGUGCCUGUCUUCAUACUAAUCUGGGUUACAUAUCUUUAAUUACUAAUACUUAUGUCACUCUUGUAUUAAGUACUUACAAGUGACUGCAUAUGCAUGUAUUUUAAUGGUCUUAAUGCACCUCUCUGGUUGCCUGGGAUAUGUUUUACUUAUGUUAAAUCAGGUAAGAAAUUACAACACACCCUGGCACUGAAGCAGUAUUUCUAAGGCCACUGAAAACAGGACCUGUGUGUUUGAAGACAAGUAAUUUGGAAUAGCAUGUUUAAACAAAACACAGGGAACUGGAGAGAGCAAACAAACCAGUUUAGGAAAAGUCCUAUAGAACUCUAUCAGGUCACGUGGGAUAUUAGAGAAGUAUCUGUGAGCACCCAUUGUUUUGUGCAAAUUUACACUGUGAGGUUGUGAUACUUAUGCUCAAAUAAAUAACAACUUAUUUUCUGUUUGGUCCUGCUUCUCUCUUACUUAGAGUUGAAUAGAUGGAAGUGGGUACUUUAAGUUCUGAGUAUUUUCAAGAUUACUCUUAGCUGUAAGUGAGUAAAUCUCUUUUCUACUGAGUCUACCACCAUAGCACCUCCUUUUAUGUGGUGACAGUAAAAACCAGCACCAAGUUUUAACCAUGCGUGCCCUCAGUUCACACAUCACAAUAUGUGUCUAAGGUGGAUACUUCACUUAUAAUCCUGUUGUAGCUUGUUGUUGCAGGUGGGAAGCACCCAGGAUCUUGUCAAGGUCCUGAUUUUGUGGAUCUUGCCAGCUUAGGCCUCUAAUUGUUUGCCCAUACACCUAAAUGGAUGAGAUAUUUUAUACUGAAGCAAGGCCUGGAAUGCAGGGACAGUUUAGGUGUCAGCUAAGCCUGUUUCAGUUUGUGAAUAAAAGCUUUAGAAGUGGCUGAAGCAGCAGGUAAGCAGGACUGCUGUCCUUUCAUGGCUAUAGUCCUUGAGCAUCUUUUUGUUUAAUACAUAAUGCAUGUUUCAGCAUGGAAGCAAGGUAUUCACUGCUGCUUUUUGUACAGUCAA